UAGGGAAUCUUCCGCAAUGGGCGAAAGCCUGACGGAGCAACGCCGCGUGAGUGAUGAAGGUCUUCGGAUCGUAAAACUCUGUUAUUAGGGAAGAACAAAUGUGUAAGUAACUAUGCACGUCUUGACGGUACCUAAUCAGAAAGCCACGGCUAACUACGUGCCAGCAGCCGCGGUAAUACGUAGGUGGCAAGCGUUAUCCGGAAUUAUUGGGCGUAAAGCGCGCGUAGGCGGUUUUUUAAGUCUGAUGUGAAAGCCCACGGCUCAAACGUGGAGGGUCAUUGGAAACUGGAAAACUUGAGUGCAGAAGAGGAAAGUGGAAUUCCAUGUGUGGCGGUGAAAUGCGCAGAGAUAUGGAGGAACACCAGUGGCGAAGGCGACUUUCUGGUCUGUAACUGACGCUGAUGUGCGAAAGCGUGGGGAUCAAACAGG
This 429-nucleotide ribosomal RNA is filed under the name Actinomycetes bacterium. Its description in RNAcentral is "Actinobacteria bacterium partial 16S ribosomal RNA". It matches the Rfam family "Bacterial small subunit ribosomal RNA", at positions 355 to 776 of the family's 1533-position model. Lineage: Bacteria; Bacillati; Actinomycetota; Actinomycetes. The record is from RNAcentral.